RNAcentral lists this long non-coding RNA (2479 nucleotides) under Carassius auratus (goldfish). Its description in RNAcentral is "lncRNA (ENSCARG00000002030.1)". Lineage: Eukaryota; Metazoa; Chordata; Actinopteri; Cypriniformes; Cyprinidae. The record is from RNAcentral.
UGAAAACAUAUAAUGAUUUCCCAAAAAUAUUAAGCAGUACAACUGUUUCGACAUUGAUAAUACUACGAAAUGCUUCUUGAGCACCAAAUCAGCAUAUUAGAGAGAUUUCUGAAGGAUCACUGGAAUAAUGAUGCUGAAAAUUCAGCUUUGCCAUCAUAGGAAUAAAUUACAUUUAAAAUAUAUUCAAAUAAGAAAUGUAUAAUAAAUCUAAUAAUAUUUGCACCAUAUUACUGUUUUUACUCUUUGAUUAAAUAAAUUUAGCCUUGGUGACUAUAACAGACUUCUUUGAAAACAUACACUUUAGAACUUUAGAAUGGCAUAUGUUGGUACAAUUUGUCGUGGAGCAAACUAUAAGAUUAUUGGUCUAUUUCUGAACAUUUUUUAUUUGCUUAAAUUUUCAGGAUAUGACCGGACUCUGUCAGGUUAUCAUGUUUGUAAUAUGACUGAGUCUGUGUCAGAGACCCAUUUGAUCUCCUAUCCAACCUCGUACACCCAGAGGAAACCGUGUGGUGGCUGGCUGCCAUGGACAAUGUGUGAUGUCACAGUUUAUAAGACAGAAUACCGAACACAGGUGUAUGACAUGUCCAAACAGGUCAUGAAAUGCUGUCAUGGCUAUGAACAAGUUGGGACUUACUGUGCCUUGUCCGUGGACAGAAGUGCAGAAUUCACAUCCAAGCCAGGACGGUGUCCCCCAACAAGAGCAACAGGGUCUCUGUAUAAUAAUUCAAACUCCUCUGGCUCUGUGUGCAACUGGGACAUUGAUUGUCCUCAGUGGCAAAAAUGCUGCCUGAUCGAAAACACCUCCUCCAUCUCUCAGUGCGCAGACCCCAUGCCAUCAGGUAUAAACAAACCCAUACAACAUUCUCAUAGGCAUGCACAUUGUUAAAUAACUUACAAUGGGCUUAAAAAGCCAAUUUUUCUCCAAGUCAACAGAACCUGGUGCUUCAAUGUGACAAUAACAGUUAAGACAACCUAUGAGCUACUUACCAUGAACAAAGGACUUUUCAACCACUCUAGACUGCUGCACUCUGUGGUAACUGGCGCUCUGGGUAUUGAUCGAAUUUCUGUGCAUCAUGUCUGGUCAAAAUCGGCAGGGCCCUUCACAACCUCUUCCUCACUGCUGGUUUGUUCUUCUAAAGUUAUCUUACUACAAGACAUCUCUACAAAACUGUAUCUGCUGGGAAUCAUUGAGGAGGUGACUAAUUUGGUGGUGCAAGAUGUGGAUGAAUGUGCAGCUCCGCAGCUCAACAGUUGUUUUCCACAUGCAAACUGCACGAAUACAGUAGGGUCUUAUAUAUGCACCUGCCCUCCUGGGUAUCACGACCUCAGUCCUUCACAGCCAGGAACAGUUUGCAUGGACCCCAGUGUCAAUACACAACCUCCACCACCAACCACCACCACCCCAUCCUGGACUACUCACUCUCAACCACCACCAACCACCGCCACCCCAUCCUGGACUACUCACUCUCAACCACCACCAACCACCACCACCCCAUCCUGGACUACUCACUCUCAACCACCACCAACCACCACCACCCCAUCCUGGACUACUCACUCUCAACCACCACCAACCACCGCCACCCCAUCCUGGACUACUCACUCUCAACCACCACCAACCACCACCACCCCAUCCUGGACUACUCACUCUCUACCACCACCAACCACCACCACCCCAUCCUGGACUACUCACUCUCAACCACCACCAACCACCACCACCCCAUCCUGGACUACUCACUCUCUACCACCACCAACCACCACCACCCCAUCCUGGACUACUCACUCUCUACCACCACCAACCACCACCACCCCAUCCUGGACUACUCACUCUCUACCACCACCAACCACCACCACCCCAUCCUGGACUACUCACUCUCUACCACCACCAACCACCACCACCCCAUCCUGGACUACUCACUCUCAACCACCACCAACCACCUCCACACCAUCCUGGACUACUCACUCUCAACCACCACCAACCACCUCCACACCAUCCUGGACUACUCACUCUCAACCACCACCAACCACCUCCACACCAUCCUGGACUACUCACUCUCAACCACCACCAACCACCACCACCCCAUCCUGGACUACUCACUCUCAACCACCACCAACCACCACCACCCCAUCCUGGACUACUCACUCUCUACCACCACCAACCACCACCACCCCAUCCUGGACUACUCACUCUCAACCACCACCAACCACCACCACCCCAUCCUGGACUACUCACUCUCUACCACCACCAACCACCACCACCCCAUCCUGGACUACUCACUCUCUACCACCACCAAACACCACCACCCCAUCCUGGACUACUCACUCUCUACCACCACCAACCACCACCACCCCAUCCUGGACUACUCACUCUCUACCACCACCAAACACCACCACCCCAUCCUGGACUACUCACUCUCUACCACCACCAACCACCACCACCCCAUCCUGGACUACUCACUCUUCACCAGGUACACAAGAAUAA